AGAGUUAAAUUGUCUGCCAAACUCUGCUUUAAUGUCAAACUGUCGCUUUUACAGAGAAGAUAAAAGCUCAAAACAAACAAAAAUUUAAAAUAAAAUCACACAAAUCCACUGCAACUUUCAAAUAGCAUGCAGACAGCAGGGUGCCUUAUAAACAUCCCUGCUUACAAAGUCACCUUUUGAAAUACCAGCAAUUAUACUGCAUGAGGCACAGUUGCUACUCAUGUGCCAGUUGUCACUUUUUAAAAGAUGACUAUUAGUUAUAUUUCCUCCCUAUGAGACAUUGUGAAGCUUCUUAGCAUUUUGAGAAAGCAAGCAUGUAUUCCAAAAUGCAUAUAUCCUAGAAAAACAAACAAACAAACAAAACCCAAACCCACAACCAAACAACUUGGCAUUUAUAAAUGGCAUAGGAUAUUCAUGGCAUAACUAGAAGCUCAUUUUCUGUUGCAGGUGAGGGCUGCUGUCUGCACUCUCACUGCAACCUCACCAUGGAAAGACUGCCAUAAAUAUGUACAACAUGUAGGAGACCAAAAAGGAAGAAAGCAGGAGCAAGUUGUGGAAUAGAAAUGAAUCAGCUGAACAGAAUGAAACAGGACUCAGGGUCAUUGCUGGAAGAGGUAGAAGGUAUAAGCCACCAUGGGGUUUGAUGCCUACUGCUCUAAAAUGUUAUUGCUUCUGAUUUCCAUGUAGGGAGGAAACAUCUUCAUUGUUAUGGGAAGAGCUCUCAGUCAAUCAUUUGCAUCCACUGGCUACAAGCAACUUGGUAUGACGUUUAACUCAAUGUGCUUUGUCCUUUCCAGUGGUGUGUCUUUG
Molecule: long non-coding RNA, 810 nt
Filed under: Taeniopygia guttata (zebra finch)
Lineage: Eukaryota; Metazoa; Chordata; Aves; Passeriformes; Estrildidae
Description: lncRNA (ENSTGUG00000024546.1)
Source: RNAcentral